Molecule: long non-coding RNA, 532 nt
Filed under: Elaeis guineensis (African oil palm)
Lineage: Eukaryota; Viridiplantae; Streptophyta; Magnoliopsida; Arecales; Arecaceae
Description: long non-coding RNA (EGUI_LNC028209)
Source: RNAcentral
AGAUCUGGCUAUUCACUUACUCUAACCCUUUCCAGAAGAGGAAGUCUGUUCAUUUUUCUCAAUAACAAUGUUCAUGUGUUUUGACAUUCAACUUUCUAUAUAAUGUAUAUGAUAUUGAACCUUUACGAGACCACAUUUUCUAUUUAUCCUUACCUGUUUUCCAAGCCUAAUAUGCCAUUACAAGAACCAAAAAUCAUAGCAGAAUCAAUGUAAGCAUGAGAGACACAUAGGUAUAAUGAUUAACCAAAACAAGCAGGAAAAAAAUUGCAACCACUAUCAAGUUGACAUGUGCAUAAUGACAACCAUCUUUUCAUUGGAUUCUUUUCCUGAUUGAGAAUAUGUCGGAAGUAAUAAUUUUUUUCAUGUUAGGCAUAAAAUAUAAUUGAUUAAAAGAAUUUUUUCCUAAAAAAAAAAUGACAAUUUGCAUAACAUGUUUUUGCACCCAAUACUUUUGAAUGGGUGAUUUUUCUUAGAAAAAUCUUUCACUGGUCCUGAACUUCUUGAAGCUUUUGAAGAGAUCUUUGGAGCAAGA